AACGAACGCUGGCGGCAGGCCUAACACAUGCAAGUCGAGCGAGGACUUCGGUCCUAGCGGCGGACGGGUGAGUAACGCGUGGGAACGUGCCCUUUUCUUCGGGAUAGCCCUUUGAAACUGGGAGUAAUACCGGGUGAGCCCUUUUGGUGAAAGAUUUAUCGUCGAAGGAUCGGCCGGCGUUGGUUGAGGUAGUUGGUGUGGUAAUGGCCUACGAAGCCUACGAUCCAUAGCUGGGUUGAGAGGAUGAUCAGCCACACUGGGAGUGAGACACGGCCCAGACUCCUGCGGGAGGCAGCCGUGGGGAAUCUUAGAAAAUGGGGGAAAUCCUGAUCGAGUCAUGCCGGGUGAGCGAUGAAGGCCUUAGGGUUGUAAAGCUCGUUCAGCUGGGAAGAUAAUGACGGUACCAGAAGAAGAAGCCCCGGCUAACUUCGUG
This 433-nucleotide ribosomal RNA is filed under the name uncultured bacterium. RNAcentral describes it as "partial 16S ribosomal RNA". It matches the Rfam family "Bacterial small subunit ribosomal RNA", at positions 29 to 507 of the family's 1533-position model. The record is from RNAcentral.